Molecule: unclassified non-coding RNA, 519 nt
Filed under: Hevea brasiliensis (rubber tree)
Lineage: Eukaryota; Viridiplantae; Streptophyta; Magnoliopsida; Malpighiales; Euphorbiaceae
Source: RNAcentral
UAUCCAUAGAUGAUUUCCUGCCCCUGCGCUUAGAACUCGAUCUCCUCUUCUUCCUUGAUUCAGAAUCAUUUGAUUCAGAUUCAGACUCAGACUCAGACUCGGAUUCUGAAUCGUUGCUCACAGAUUUCCCAGACUCAGAUUCUGAUACACCCUUUCCAUCACGCGCUUUUCCUUUCUCUUUCUCGCUAAAGUCAAUCUUCUCUUCGUCUUCCCCAUACUUCUCCGAAAUCUCAUCUGGUUUGCCUUCCAAAUCUUCUUCUUCGUUCUCAUCCCUGAGUGGACUAGGGGUAAGCGUCCAAAUACAAUAUUUCGCGAUGUUCUUCCUCAUCUUCUGCCUCUUCAGCCUCCUCCGCUCUUCAAAGCUCAAACCCUUCAACUCCUCAUCGGAUUCUGAUUCGGAGUUCCUUCCAUUACGAGAGCCGCCGCGAUCGAGGUAUGCCCGCCCGCUGCCGAACUUUUUUGGCAGAGAAUCUAGGUUUUUCCUGGGCCUAGGGCUUGGGCUUCUUCUUCCAGGGCUUG